This 435-nucleotide ribosomal RNA is filed under the name uncultured bacterium. Its description in RNAcentral is "partial 16S ribosomal RNA". It matches the Rfam family "Bacterial small subunit ribosomal RNA", at positions 29 to 505 of the family's 1533-position model. The record is from RNAcentral.
AGCGAACGCUGGCGGCAGGCUUAACACAUGCAAGUCGAGCGGGCAUCCUUGUGGUGUCAGCGGCAGACGGGUGAGUAACGCGUGGGAACGUGCCCUUCGGUUCGGAAUAACUCAGGGAAACUUGAGCUAAUACCGGAUACGUGCGAGAGCAGAAAGGUUUAUCUGCCGAAGGAUCGGCCCGCGUCUGAUUAGCUAGUUGGUGAGGUUACGGCUCACCAAGGCGACGAUCAGUAGCUGGUCUGAGAGGAUGAUCAGCCACACUGGGACUGAGACACGGCCCAGACUCCUACGGAAGGCAGCAGUGGGGAAUAUUGGACAAUGGGGGCAACCCUGAUCCAGCCAUGCCGCGUGAGUGAUGACGGCCUUAGGGUUGUAAAGCUCUUUUCUCCGGGACGAUAAUGACGGUACCGGAGGAAUAAGCCCCGGCUAACUUCG